Molecule: ribosomal RNA, 466 nt
Filed under: uncultured bacterium
Lineage: Bacteria
Description: partial 16S ribosomal RNA
Rfam family: Bacterial small subunit ribosomal RNA
Source: RNAcentral
GAUGAACGCUGGCGGCGUGCUUAACACAUGCAAGUCGAACGAUGAAGCCCAGCUUGCUGGGUGGAUUAGUGGCGAACGGGUGAGUAACACGUGAGUAACCUGCCCUUAACUCUGGGAUAAGCCUGGGAAACUGGGUCUAAUACCGGAUAGGAGCGUCCACCGCAUGGUGGGUGUUGGAAAGAUUUAUCGGUUUUGGAUGGACUCGCGGCCUAUCAGCUUGUUGGUGAGGUAAUGGCUCACCAAGGCGACGACGGGUAGCCGGCCUGAGAGGGUGACCGGCCACACUGGGACUGAGACACGGCCCAGACUCCUACGGGAGGCAGCAGUGGGGAAUAUUGCACAAUGGGCGCAAGCCUGAUGCAGCGACGCCGCGUGAGGGAUGACGGACUUCGGGUUGUAAACCUCUUUCAGUAGGGAAGAAGCGAAAGUGACGGUACCUGCAGAAGAAGCACCGGCUAACUACGUG